Molecule: long non-coding RNA, 2016 nt
Organism: Canis lupus familiaris (dog)
Lineage: Eukaryota; Metazoa; Chordata; Mammalia; Carnivora; Canidae
Exons: 3
Source: RefSeq, a predicted model, not a curated record
AUGUAUUUUUAUCUGAGAGAGAACGAGCAACAAAGAAAAAAUAAAUUUUCUUAGCUCUAGUAAAGGCUCAGAAACAAUGACCAACCCAGUACUGUGAGCACUCUAUCACCCAGAUUAUGGUCUUGAAACAGUAAUCAGAAAAGUAACCAGAGCUCCCUUGGAGAAGUGCUGAUUCCAGGUUUGGGGCAGAAAAUGUCCAAGAUGAGCCUUGGAACACCUUGACAUAUCACAGGGCAAGUCAAAAGGACUCAGCCAACCUAAAGAGGCUCUCCCUUGCCAAGUUGGGAUCACUGGAUCAUCAGUAAGGGUCAAAACUGCAAUUGACUGUGUCACAUUGAAGAUAUUUACAGGCCAUACAUCGAUGAGUUCAUAAUGAUACUAAAACAAAAUGACUGACUUACUGAUCACCAUUGAGAAUUCUAGUAAAUCGACUCACUUUUUCAACAAGCAAGAGAUGAAAGGAAAGAAUCAAAUAUAUAUUCUGCUUUUUCUAUACCAGUUGCAAGUCUGAGAAUAGAUUAAGUCAGAGCUUCUCUUUAUAGAUGCAUUCCAACAAAUACAGGAUGAGGAAUUCUAGAAUUACCUAUUGCUAUGUAGCAAUGUAGCAACCACUAAUGAAAUAAUGGAUCUAGGUUAAAGAGGAGGACAAGAGAAUACAUAAAACAACACAAGGGGAUACAACCAGUAAAAUCAGGACUGCAGGAAACUGCAGACAAAUGACCCUAUUUUUUUUCAACAAAUGAGAGGAAGAGUCUGUGAGAAAGACUCAUAGUUUAAGAGAUGUAAUAGACAUUUCAACAACCACCAUGUGUGGCCCUUACAUAGAUCUUGACUCAAACAGAAAAAGUCUGUUCUGAGAUAAUUGUGAGAUAAUUGGAAAUUUUAACAUUUUCUGCAAUAAAAAGUUCACUCAAACAAUCAGACCAUAGGAGCCUCUGCCCUCCCUGCUUGGGCUCCUCAGAGAGUCUAUAAGAAUUUUCUGUGGCCAAAGACUCUCCAUCGUAUUGGCUUCUCCAAUAACUAUGCUGCAGCAUGUGACCCUCUGUUUCCCAGCCUCGUUCCCCGAAGAGGUUCAUUAACUAAGAAUAAUCCGGAUGAGGCCUAAGCAUCAACCAAGACACCUCAACCAGAAUUUGGCUCCCUUAGAACAUUAGCACUGGUGGCAUUAGGAGUUCAAGUAAUAAAUGGAGACAACAUAUCCCUACACUCAAGCUGUUGUAGCUGUUCUCUGAGAGCACACUGGGGUUGCCAAAAAAAAAAGUUCAAUGGCCUGCAGGUCCCAACCCCCAUCGAUCCUCCAAACAUGGCAAACAUCCGACGGGUGGUAAAAUCUGGACAGAGUCACACAUCAGUAAAUGAACACAUGGGACAACUGAACAUUCGUGAUUCACCAUUCGUGAAUAUUUGUGAACACUAACAGAGAAAUACUGUUGUUUUCCAUUCGCAAUUUCUGUUAAAUAUUACACAGGGGUUAAGUCAAAGGUAAAAGUAGUUCAGCAUGUAAGGGCAAGAAAAGCCCAACACCAACAUUAUAAGAAGGUCUGUAGCCACAGACAUCACUUAGGCAACAUGAAGAAACAAAGAGAACCUGGGUGCCAGUGUGGAGGUUGGAUAGAGCUAAUGCACAAUGCAGUUUCCUCCCACCAGAAAUACAUAGGAGCAUUAGAGAAAGAAAACUAGCAUCUUUUUUAAUUUUUUCAAAUGUAGAGCUAAGCUAAAAAGAAAGAAACGGAAAUGCUUUGGGUGUCAAAAAUCAGAGAACAUCAAGCCAGGGGUGAAGAAGAGAAGCAGCAGAGGCGGUGCUGGGGGCACAAGGUCUGGGUAGCAGCCCCAACAUCCAGAAGGCACACCCAGAUCCAGACGUGGGUCUGGUAAUGUGGGGGGCAGGCAGCCAGACCCAUGGAAGGGUUGCCUUCUCCCAGGGAAGAGUGAAGCGAGAGAAUGAGGUUCUUGUCUCACGGAGUCAAAGAACAAAUCGCGCAAAGGAGAGUGAGUAAAGUGACAGAGUUUUAUUAA